Long non-coding RNA from Ctenopharyngodon idella (grass carp), 6124 nucleotides. RefSeq lists it as uncharacterized. The transcript is spliced from 2 exons. The record is from RefSeq and is a predicted model, not a curated record. NCBI's taxonomy places the organism in Eukaryota, Metazoa, Chordata, Actinopteri, Cypriniformes, Xenocyprididae.
AAGGCCUUUAUUAACCCCCUGGAGCCAUAUGGAUUAUAUGCCCAAAUAUUAUUUUGGGCAUGUAAUCCAAAAAAUUUUCAUAAAUGACAUUAAAUUUUGGUCUGUUCAUUUGCUUUUUUAGCUUCAGAAGAGAUACAAUACUAUUUGUUUUGUUUUUUAACCUUGACAGCAAAUAUCCGCUUUCGCUUUCAUUUUAUGGAAAACCUUUAACGUCUCACUUCAAAGCAGUGUGAAUUUUACUGUGAACUUCCUCAUUCUUUGGUUAAGUCGAAAUAACAUUGUAUAUUGAAUACCCCUGAACUACAGUACUCUUCAGCAAGUACUUUCAAAGGCCUUUGCUUGUUUCCACAGAUCCUGAGAUACUCUUAUCUAAAUUGCUCCUUAUCCUCAAUUGACAAAGCAAGAAUCCAGAAUGCAUUGUGCUGAGGAAAAGAUGAGUUUGCAGACUGAUAAAAUUCUUGUUUUUGGAUAUGAGCUGUGAAGCGGGGUGGCUUCUGGAAUUCACUGCUGCUUCUAUAUAUAUAUAUAUAUAUAUAUAUAUAAGUUAUAACUUAUUAAUCCAAGUUAUUAAUCCACAUUUAUCCUUCUAAUUAUUUGAAUGACUUCUUCAACGUAUGUUAAAGCAUUUAUUUUACUUUUCAUCUUCAAACAGAGUGUCUGUACCUCUUACUCUGAGUGUUGAGAACAUGUUAUCAGUAUGUUUUGGGGAAAUGUCCUGCUCAACCAACUUCAACCUUAAAGUAGCUGUGUAUCUGUGUGCUAAUAUCCUUUGUUACAGAUCAGCAUUGGUGAAAUUAACAACUGACAACUUGCACCCUGGAUGAUUUUUCAUCAUCAACAAAUUGGCACAUAAAAGAGCAGUUCUAUGACCUCGGAGGUCACUCCGUGCCUAAACCAGGGUUUUGUUGUCAUCUGUAUAAUCUAUGGAGACAUGCUUAUUUCUAUUACUCCUUGUGAGGACAAUUUCUAACUUUAUCUGUUUUUUAACCAGUCAGAAUCAUUUAACCUGAGGUAAUGACGUAGUUAGUGGACUCUGUAUUGUUGUGGAAAUGUGAAUGUAUGCAGAGCGGCCUACGAACUCCUUGUGAGUAUUGAAGCUGACUUCUGUGGAUGAAACGCCAAACUAUUCUUUAGUACAAUUUUCUUCAAUUCAUUUUUUUUUUAAACUCUGACUCCGGGCCUUUAUUCAUCAUAUCUGGUCUUUGGCUCUUUAUCUGUGAAUUCCCCUACAGCUGUGUGACAGUACUGCCACAGGAUACCAGCGGUCACACGGAUUGUUCUUGACUUGAGUUUACUUCCUUUGAUCUGAGGUGGAAGGCAGCUGUCUGGCUUUCUGUGAUUGUAAGUGAAUGUGAAAGUUUUUGCCCACCUCUGCAGCGUCAUUUUUAAGACUUGGAUUUGCCCUUUGACCCCCCAAGCACUAGUUUGAUUAUAACCCGGACACAUUUUAAAGACUCUGUUGCGGUCAGCUGUUGGCUUCUGGGAUUGCUCUACGCAGAGCUGAAGGGAAGCAGCAGGAUUUAACCAAGUGUGGUCAGGAGGAAUGUGAGCGCAGUGCCUGGGGCCUCGCUCAGGAAUGCUGACCACUAAGACAGACACUUAUAGAAUAACUGUGGGAAAAAGAACUGUUUAAAUUCUGAUUCUAACACCUCUUCAUGUUUAAACUGACAGUUACAAAAGAAUUCUAAUAAAUGUUCUUUUGAAAAUUCUUCAAAGAAUCCUGAAAAACAAAUAUCACGCCUUACUCAAAAACAUUAAGUUUUUUGUUGUUUUCAACAUUGAUAAUAAUAAGAAAUGUUUCUUGAUCAGCAAAUCAUCAUAUUAACAUGAUUUCUGAAGGAUCAUGUGACACUGAAGACUGGAGUAAUGAUGCUGACAGGUAAUAAAUUAUAUUUUGUUUGUGCGUGUGUAGGCAAGAAGCAAUAGGAGAGGAGAUCUAACAGGAUCAAGUAAAUCAAACUAAGGCUAUGGCUAUGGCUCCAAAAUCUUUUGACCUCUUCCCUAAUAAUUUCAACCUAUUCCAAUUUCGUUAGCAUUUUAUUUUACAGUCCUGUUCCACAUGUUAUAAUGUACUUAUUAUAACAAUAACAAUAACUGGGUUAUAACUAGGUACUGACCCUGAUCCUAUCCCUAAACCUAACCUUAACUCAUGUAGUUACCAGUACUUUUUGGGUAACUACACUGUAAUUAAAAUGUAAGUGUAUGUACUGUAAAAUAAAGUGUAACCUCAGUGUCAUUAUGUAACAUGUUUCCAAGUAAAAGAAACUGUAUUCAGUGAGAAAAGUAAUGUAGGACGGGGCUUUGUGUUCACCAUAACUGAUUGGAUCAGUGAAAAGUGGGCGUUUUGUUCUAUAAAGGUGCCAAUCCUGAAUGUGAGUGUGCUAAAACAAUGCUAUUAACAUGCUUUUGUGCCCUUUUUUAUCCCCAUUAAAACUAGCAAAACAGCUCCAUUUGUGUUUCAUGCAUGAGAUAAAGUCUUAAAGGUUUGGAACGACAUGAGGGUGAGUAAAUGACAAAACUUUUAAUUUUUCUGUGAACUAUUACUUUAAAUUCUUGUCAUGCAGGUUCAGGAAUUUUCACCUAUUUCUGAAAACCAACUCAUCCAAAGACAAAUAACUCACAGAGCUCAAAUAAUGUGUAUCUACUAUAAUUUCAGUAACUAGACCACCAUCAUUGUGCACUACAGCCGGCUUUGCCUCCGGCCAACCCUGGAGCAAAGGCUCUCCCGUAUUUAAAAUAUUUUUGCAGCUCCUUGAGUGAUAUGGCCCUGAACCUCAGACAUUCAACACAAUAGAAUUGAGUGUUUGUGUAUCCGAGGCAGUUUUUCAUCUGUCAUUUUUCUGGAAAUAUGAUUCCUACCCUACUGGCAGACAAACAGGCCCAGGCUGUUAGUUUUGCAGUAGUUGCUUUUUGCCAAGGCCUGGGAAGCACGUGGAAGGAUGUGUGGGUGGAUGGAGAAAGAAAAAAGAUAGAGUAAUAAAGAAAAAGAGAAAAGAAGGAGAGCGGAGCUGCCAAGGAAAGCUACCAAACUCACUGGUCAACAUCAGUCAUUAUUCUCAAGACUUUGAUGUAAUUCCUCCCUGUUUUCAGACUUUAGGACAGGCGCCCAUAUCCACAUGAAUCAGGCUUUUCUGUGUAAAAUAAUCCUCAAAUCAUUUGUCAUACCAAUCCCAAUGAUUGUUUUCAAAGACAGAAUUAUAAGCACCAGCAGAGCUUACCAAAGAGCUACUGGCUGCCCUUUCCAUGUUAAACUAACAUCAGUUAUAAAAGUAGAUCUUAGAUCGAUUUCAUGGUUUCAAAAUUAUUAUUUUUUUUUUGUAAUGGCAGUUCAGGAAUGAAAUGUAUGGUGAGUGGAGCUAAAAGAUUAUUGCUCUGUCGUGUUUGAAAUUAACAUAUCACCUACACUAAACCUAAGCAAUAGUGUUAACAAAAGCAUACGUGAGAUAACACAUUUGCUGUCGCAACUAUGCAAUUUUAGCUGCUUCUACAAGUCUUUGAGCUCUUUUAUUGUGAGUCAUGUUUCAUGGGACUCAUUCUCAAGCGCUCUGAAUCUCAAGAGCAACGCUGUACCAGAUGAGCUAACGAACAGUUUACUGUCACAAAAACAAUAAUACAUAUGGAGUUGGUAAUGUAAUGCAAGUGUCAAAAUGUAUUUGUGUUUUGAGGGCAUUUUGCAAGGAACUGCACGAAAGUAAGUCUUUAUUAAUCGAUAAUCUGCCCCUGUAAUCAUAAUUUGCAUGAAAAUUAAUAAAAUGCAUAGAUGUUUUACUGCCACUAGUGUUCAUUUCAACUGGAAACUGCUGGAUUAUAUGUAAAAGUACAUUUUAUGGCUUAGAUCUCUCCUUCAGUGAGAUAUUUUCUCCUGUUUUAUCACCAUCCAAGCAAAUACUGUAAAUAUUAUCACAGAAAAGCAAUAAUGCACCUUUCAAUAAGCUGCACGGUUUGAGGUGUCACUCAUGUCUGUGGCAUUAAAGGGUUAGUUCACACAAAAAUGAAAUUUCUGUCAUUAAUUACUCACCCUCAUGUCAUUCCAAACCUGUAAGACUUUCGUUCAUCUUCAGAACACAAAUUAAGAUAUUUUUGAUGAAACCUGAGAGCUUUCUGUCCCUCCAUUUACAGCUACGCAACUACCACUUUGAGGCUUCAAAAAGUUCAUAAAGAGAUCGUAAAACUAAUCCAUGUGAACUGAGUGGUUUAGUCCAAAUUUUCUAAAGAGACUUUAUAUGAUGAACAGAUUUAAUUUAGGCUUUUAUUCACAUAUAAACAUUGAUCAGUGAACAUAAACAUAAGCUCAACGGAACAUGAUUGACGUGCAAGAAAAAAACUCUUGAAGAAGCUCAAACGUGCUGCGUAACACACAAGAAUGAACCACAUUGGCUCUCGCACAUUUCAAACAAACAGCUUCCGUUUACCAUAACUAAUGUGUGAGUUGAUGAAUAUUUAUAUGUGAAUAGAAGCCUAAAUUCAAUCAGUUCAUAAUAUAAAGCGACCGUGUCUCUGAUUUCAUCAUUUGUGUUCCAAAGAUGAACAAGACGGGUGUGGAACGACAUGAGGGUGAGUAAUUAAUGACAGAAAUUUCAUUUACCCAGCUAAAGUUUUCUUUAGCCCUAUGUUUAGUACAUUUUUCGUUAAAUGAUUACAACCAAUUAGAAAGGUCAAAAAAGUACCAAAGAACAGUCCAGUAAGGUGUGGGAGUCACUAUCAAGCACCAUUUAAAGGUGGGAUGUCCUGUUUUGACACAUAGUCACAGGAGCACAUGGUGUGAGUAGAAGGCAAGAUUAUUUGCUUUAGUAAUCUUAUUUAAAAUGAACUCUACAUAAAAAAAUAUGUGUGUGUAUGAAGGUGUAGAGAAGCCUUUUAUCAGGUUUUAUGAAGUUUUUUUUUUUUUUAUUAUUUUGCAUGUUCAGAAAUUCAGUUUUUCUUUUUGUUGCCUCAGGGCAACGUUGUGCGAUAACGGGUACUUUUUGAGGAUGUUUUGGACAAUACCUCACAUUGGCCAUAAUGUGUUAUAUGAAGGGAAGAUGCAGGGUUCCUGGGUGUGCAGGAACACCCAAAGUGAUGUGCUAAAAUUGUAACGUACACCACUGUUUCACAGCAGAGAAGAAGUGCUUUUUGAAGUUUCGUACGGAGUGAAAUCUUAUUACAUGAAGUACAUUAUAUGGCAUGACACACUACAUGAUACAUUGAGCAUUGUCUUAUGAUAAUUUUCUCUCUGAUUCUGUACUAUUGUUGCACAAUGUUGCUGUGAGACAACAAAAAUUAUUUUGGGGUGGGGGGAGGGUGGGUCAAAAAAAUGUUUUAUCAAUAAAAUGUUCCCAAACGCACCAAAAAAUGAUGUGGAAUAUUUUUUUUAUCUGCCAUCAACAUGUGUGCAGUAGAGGGUUAAUGGUGCAAGAGUUGUUCAGCGCCAAUAGCAGUAUUUAAAUACUGCGUCAUGCAUAUUAAAGAGUUUUCGUAGAGCUGAUUACUCAUAUUACUCAUUUACAGUUAUUCACCUGAUUCAGAGAUUAUUCACAUUUCCAGUAUUUACUUUGAAGUCAAAUGUUGACACACUUCACAUCUGCCAUAUUUGCCAACAAAAUCUAUUUUUGAAAAGGCAGUACUUGCUUUACAUUUGCAUUAUGUUUGAGCAUUUUAGUUAAAAUAUAGGAAUUUGAGUACAACAUGACUAAAAUGUGAAAUGUAAAAUUUUAUAUUUGUGAAAAUGUGAUUUUUUUCUUUCUUUCUGAUACUCAAGUAUAUGACAUUAAAAAAAUAUGUUGUUAUUAAAUAUUUACAGGUUUUUUUCAACUGCUUACACACAAAAUCCUUACUUGUCAGACAAUUUCUGAAACCUGACACUCAAACACUAGAACCACAUGCCAAAUCUGCAAAACCAUACGCUAAUUCUCGGCCUUUGACUCGGUUUUCAAUUUCAUAAAACACUUUUUGCAAAACAUAACACACAAUUCUCUAUUUAACACACAAAUCUAACAGGAAGUGUCUUGAUUUCCUUUUUCAAACACAACCAUUGUUUCUGUACUACACAUGGUUGAUGUAUUUCUUUUCUUUUGUUCUGUGUAAUACUGUAUUCACAACCACAAAUGCUUACAGUAAAAAAAUAAAUAGUUUGGUUUCAAUCUUA